GGUAGCGUGGCUGAGAGUCUAAGGCGCUGCAUUUAGACUCCAGUCUCUUCGGGGGCCUGGGUUCAAAUCCCACUGCUGCCA
This 81-nucleotide transfer RNA is filed under the name Danio rerio (zebrafish). It matches the Rfam family "tRNA". Rfam says of the family: Transfer RNA (tRNA) molecules are approximately 80 nucleotides in length. Their secondary structure includes four short double-helical elements and three loops (D, anti-codon, and T loops). The record is from Rfam by way of RNAcentral. Lineage: Eukaryota; Metazoa; Chordata; Actinopteri; Cypriniformes; Danionidae.